GUGACCUACAGUCCCACUUGAGUCACAGAUCUGCAGGCGCCCCUCCUCUGGUCCAGCACUCCAUCCUACACCACCAUCCAGCAUCAGACGGAGAGCAGCCCUUCGACACACUGAGCCUGGAGAGCUCAGACAGUAUGGACACCAGUGUGUCCACAGGCAACAACUCCGCCUGCUCGCCAGAUAAUUUGUCCAGUGUUGGAGGAACGGACGCGCUGAAGAUGGAAGAGAUGGAGAAAAUGCUGAAGGAGGCACAGAUGGAGAAAGCCAGACUUAUUGAGUUUCGGGAACAGGAGAGCUUCGCU
This is a long non-coding RNA of Hippocampus comes (tiger tail seahorse), 302 nucleotides long. RefSeq lists it as uncharacterized. Lineage: Eukaryota; Metazoa; Chordata; Actinopteri; Syngnathiformes; Syngnathidae. The transcript is spliced from 3 exons. The record is from RefSeq and is a predicted model, not a curated record.